AGCUUGUCUGAGUGCAGUAAUGUUUAUAACUGGUUGAUCACAACUGGUUACACAUUUCUUUGUUCUUUUUCUCCUCUCACUACUUUACUUUACUAACCAUAA
Molecule: unclassified non-coding RNA, 102 nt
Organism: Colobus angolensis palliatus
Lineage: Eukaryota; Metazoa; Chordata; Mammalia; Primates; Cercopithecidae
Rfam family: Y RNA
About the family: Y RNAs are components of the Ro ribonucleoprotein particle (Ro RNP), in association with Ro60 and La proteins. The Y RNAs and Ro60 and La proteins are well conserved, but the function of the Ro RNP is not known. In humans the RNA component can be one of four small RNAs -- hY1, hY3, hY4 and hY5.
Source: Ensembl